UGGGGAAUUUUGGACAAUGGGGGAAACCCUGAUCCAGCCAUCCCGCGUGUGCGAUGAAGGCCUUCGGGUUGUAAAGCACUUUUGGCAGGAAAGAAACGUCGCGGGUUAAUACCCCGCGAAACUGACGGUACCUGCAGAAUAAGCACCGGCUAACUACGUGCCAGCAGCCGCGGUAAUACGUAGGGUGCAAGCGUUAAUCGGAAUUACUGGGCGUAAAGCGUGCGCAGGCGGUUCGGAAAGAAAGAUGUGAAAUCCCAGAGCUUAACUUUGGAACUGCAUUUUUAACUACCGGGCUAGAGUGUGUCAGAGGGAGGUGGAAUUCCGCGUGUAGCAGUGAAAUGCGUAGAUAUGCGGAGGAACACCGAUGGCGAAGGCAGCCUCCUGGGAUAACACUGACGCUCAUGCACGAAAGCGUGGGGGAGCAAACAGGAUUAGAUACCCUGGUAGUCCACGCCCUAAACGAUGUCAACUAGCUGUUGGGGGCCUUCGGGCCUUGGUAGCGCAGCUAACGCGUGAAGUUGACCGCCUGGGGAGUACGGUCGCAAGAUUAAAACUCAAAUGAAUUGAC
RNAcentral lists this ribosomal RNA (568 nucleotides) under uncultured bacterium. RNAcentral's name for it is "partial 16S ribosomal RNA". It matches the Rfam family "Bacterial small subunit ribosomal RNA", at positions 355 to 914 of the family's 1533-position model. The record is from RNAcentral.